CAGACUAUUUAUGACUUCAAUCUAUCUAUCUAUCUAUAUCUAGGAUAAGCAUUUCUAAUCAUAUUUGUCUGUGAAAUCUUCCAUUAAACUGAUGGCUUUUUAGCCGUAAAAAUGCAUCUUGACGAGGAGUUAUUUGCAGUUUGACUAAUUGCUUUUGUUGUUUCUUUUGUAGGCUUUGAAAAACCUGGCAAUGAAUUAUUCUGGCUGAAUUCUGUCACUUAUCAAGCAAAAAUCUGAGUUGCAAUCAGAGUUCUUCAAAGAUCUCGACAAAUACACUCCUCGCUUCCUGGAGAAGUUCAAGACCCAGAGGGGGAAAGUGUCGGACAGAAACUUGGAUAUCUGCAACAAGUCACACCUGGGAGUACAGAUGUGACUGGGAGGUGAACAGCAGUCCUCCGUGGCUCUCCCGUCAUCCUUGGAGAUGACAACGCAGACUUCUUCAAGAAUUUGUGUGAGUUUAGGAUGGCGUGAAGCUUCGACUUGACCCUAUGGAAACACAGCAGAUGCCACCAAAGGGUCCUGAUCGGGGACUCUGAUGACCUUCUGGACGUGUCCCACACCUCCAUUGGGACCCUGACGGUGCUGAAGACAUGGUGGCCUCCUCACUCGCUGGACCUGGAGUC
Long non-coding RNA from Pseudoliparis swirei, 623 nucleotides. RefSeq lists it as uncharacterized. The record is from RefSeq and is a predicted model, not a curated record. Lineage: Eukaryota; Metazoa; Chordata; Actinopteri; Perciformes; Liparidae. The transcript is spliced from 5 exons.